AUUGAACGCUGGCGGCAUGCCUUACACAUGCAAGUCGAACGGCAGCACGGGAGCAAUCCUGGUGGCGAGUGGCGAACGGGUGAGUAAAGUAUCGGAACGUGCCCAGACGUGGGGGAUAACGUAGCGAAAGUUACGCUAAUGCCGCAUACGAACUAUGGAUGAAAGCGGGGGAUCGCCAGACCUCGCGCGAUUGGAGCGGCCGAUAUCAGAUUAGGUAGUUGGUGGGGUAAAGGCUCACCAAGACGACGAUCUGUAGCUGGUCUGAGAGGACGACCAGCCACACUGGGACUGAGACACGGCCCAGACUCCUACGGGAGGCAGCAGUGGGGAAUUUUGGACAAUGGGCGCAAGCCUGAUCCAGCCAUGCCGCGUGCAGGAUGAAGGCCUUCGGGUUGUAAACUGCUUUUGUACGGAACGAAAAGGUUUGACUUAAUACGUUGGACUCAUGACGGUACCGUAAGAAUAAGCACCGGCUAACUACGUGCCAGCCGCCGCCGUAA
Molecule: ribosomal RNA, 500 nt
Filed under: uncultured bacterium
Lineage: Bacteria
Description: partial 16S ribosomal RNA
Rfam family: Bacterial small subunit ribosomal RNA
Source: RNAcentral